AAAAUUAUCGGAUGAGUUGUGGAUAGGAGUGAAAGGCUAAUCAAGCCUGGAGAUAGCUGGUUCUCCCCGAAAACUAUUUAGGUAGUGCCUCAUGUAUUACUCUCGGGGGUAGAGCACUGUUUUGGCUAGGGGGACAUCCCGUCUUACCAACCCGAUGCAAACUCCGAAUACCGAGAAGUACAAUCAUGGGAGACACACAGCGGGUGCUAACGUCCGUUGUGGAAAGGGAAACAACCCAGAUCGCCAACUAAGGUCCCAAAAUUACAGCUAAGUGGGAAACGAAGUGAGAAGUCAAAGACAGCCAGGAGGUUGGCUUAGAAGCAGCCAUCCUUUAAAGAAAGCGUAACAGCUCACUGGUCAAGUCGACUUGCGCGGAAGAUUUACCGGGGCUUAAGCUGUAUACCGAAGUUGCGAAUGCAUAUUUAUAUGCGUGGUAGGGGAGCGUUCUGUAAGUCUGUGAAGGUGUAUCGCGAGAUAUGCUGGAGAUAUCAGAAGUGAGAAUGCUGACAUGAGUAACGAUAAUGCGGGUGAAAAACCCGCACGCCGAAAACCCAAGGGUUCCUGCGCAAUGCUAAUCAGCGCAGGGUUAGUCGGUCCUAAGGCGAGACUGAAAAGUGUAGUCGAUGGACAACAGGUUAAUAUUCCUGUACCGCAAUUACUGCGAUGGGGGGACGGAGAAGGCUAAGCAUACCGGGUGUUGGUUAUCCCGGGAAAAGUAUGUAGGUAGGAAAUCUUAGAAAAUCUGGAUUUCUAUUACCGAGGUACGAGACCAUUGAUUUUUUAAUCAAGAAGUUGCUGACGCCAUGCUUCCAAGAAAAUCCUCUAAGCUUCAGGUAAAUUGUGACCGUACCCCAAACCGACACAGGUGGGUGGGAUGAGAAUUCUAAGGCGCUUGAGAAAACUCUGGUGAAGGAACUAGGCAAAUUGGUACCGUAACUUCGGGAGAAGGUACGCCUUUGUUGGUGAAAGAACUUGCUUCUAGAGCUAACGAAGGUCUCAGAUACCAGGUGGCUGCGACUGUUUAAUAAAAACACAGCACUCUGCUAACUCGCAAGAGGAUGUAUAGGGUGUGACGCCUGCCCGGUGCCGGAAGGUUAAUUGAUGGGGUUAGCUUUAUGCGAAGCUCUUGAUCGAAGCCCCGGUGAACGGCGGCCGUAACUAUAACGGUCCUAAGGUAGCGAAAUUCCUUGUCGGGUAAGUUCCGACCUGCACGAAUGGCGUAACGAUGGCCACAC
Molecule: ribosomal RNA, 1235 nt
Filed under: marine metagenome
Description: bacterial LSU rRNA
Rfam family: Bacterial large subunit ribosomal RNA
Source: RNAcentral